This 292-nucleotide ribosomal RNA is filed under the name uncultured prokaryote. RNAcentral's name for it is "partial 16S ribosomal RNA". It matches the Rfam family "Bacterial small subunit ribosomal RNA", at positions 505 to 796 of the family's 1533-position model. The record is from RNAcentral.
GUGCCAGCCGCCGCGGUAAUACGGAGGGGGUUAGCGUUGUUCGGAAUUACUGGGCGUAAAGCGCGCGUAGGCGGAUUGGAAAGUUGGGGGUGAAAUCCCAGGGCUCAACCCUGGAACUGCCUCCAAAACUAUCAGUCUAGAGUUCGUGAGAGGUGAGUGGAAUUCCGAGUGUAGAGGUGAAAUUCGUAGAUAUUCGGAGGAACACCAGUGGCGAAGGCGGCUCACUGGCUCGAUACUGACGCUGAGGUGCGAAAGCGUGGGUAGCAAACAGGAUUAGAUACCCUCGUAGUCC